RNAcentral lists this ribosomal RNA (695 nucleotides) under Lagriini sp. UPOL ZL0109. RNAcentral's name for it is "eukaryotic LSU rRNA". It matches the Rfam family "Eukaryotic large subunit ribosomal RNA", at positions 670 to 1262 of the family's 3401-position model. Lineage: Eukaryota; Metazoa; Arthropoda; Insecta; Coleoptera; Tenebrionidae. The record is from RNAcentral.
GGAGUCUAGCAUGUGCGCAAGUCAUUGGGAAAUAACUAAACCUAAAGGCGCAAUGAAAGUAAAAGUUUGCCUUAUGCGCAGACCAAGGGAAGAUUGGUAAUUAUUUUCUAAUAGAGAUGAUUAUCACGCAUUCCCGGGGCGUCUCAUUCUUAUUGCAAGAAGAGGCGCACCAAGAGCGUACACGCUGGGACCCGAAAGAUGGUGAACUAUGCCUGGUCAGGACGAAGUCAGGGGAAACCCUGAUGGAGGUCCGUAGCGAUUCUGACGUGCAAAUCGAUCGUCGGAACUGGGUAUAGGGGCGAAAGACUAAUCGAACCAUCUAGUAGCUGGUUCCCUCCGAAGUUUCCCUCAGGAUAGCUGGCGUUCAUUAUGAACAAAAAUAAUACGAGUUUCAUCCGGUAAAGCGAAUGAUUAGAGGCAUUGGGGUCGAAACGGCCUCAACCUAUUCUCAAACUUUAAAUGGGUGAGAACUCCGGCUUGCUCGAAUUUUUUUUAUACGUAUUAUUAUUAGUGCAUAUGAGUGAAUAUGAAGCCGUGAGAUUUUGAAUCAGAGUGCCAAGUGGGCCAUUUUUGGUAAGCAGAACUGGCGCUGUGGGAUGAACCAAACGCUGAGUUAAAGCGCCUAAAUCGACGCUUAUGGGAUACCAUGAAAGGCGUUGGUAACUUAAGACAUCAGGACGGUGGCCAUGGAAGUC